This is an RNA transcript of Hyla sarda, 2053 nucleotides long. It is a transcript of the gene named proline rich transmembrane protein 1B, with no coding region annotated. NCBI's taxonomy places the organism in Eukaryota, Metazoa, Chordata, Amphibia, Anura, Hylidae. The transcript has 3 exons. The record is from RefSeq and is a predicted model, not a curated record.
CAGGAAAUCUAAGAGAAAAAAAAGCAAUAUCUGUGACAGACUUAAAGGGGUACUCCGCCCCUAGACAUCUUAUCCUCUAUCCCAAGGACAGGGGAUAAGAUGCCUGAUCACGGAGGUCCCGCCACUGGGACCGCAAUCUCCCUGCUGCAUCCAGCGUUCGUUUAGAGCGCCGGGUGCAGCACCGGAGGCUUGUGAUGUCAUGGCCGCGCCCCCUCAAUGCAUGUCUAUGGGAGGGGGCGUGGCAGACUUGCAUUGAGGGGGCAUGGCCGUAAUGUCACGAGCCUCUGCCCCGCAUCACCAGUCAUCCGGCACGUAGCGAAGUUCGCUCUGUGCAUUGGAUUUCUGGGGUGCCGCAGCCGAGAUCGCAGGGGUCCCCAGCAGCAGGGUCAGACAUCUUAUCCCCCCAUCCUUUGCAUAGGGGUGGAGUACCCCUUUAAAACUUUGGGCUAUAACCGUACCCUGGAACAAUGACAUCCGCCCCCCCCUCAGCGUAGCUUUUUUUCCGGCAUGUGCUGCGCUUACGGACUUCCGUGCUCUUCAGAACGACAGCUCGCUGGGGAUGACGCCUCCGCAGGCGCCUGAGGUCAGGACCAAGGACUACAUGGUGGAGUCAGUGCUGGUCACCUUCUUCUGCUGCUUCCUGACGGGGAUCAUCGCCGUGGUCUAUUCCCAUGAGACCCGGUCGGCACUGAGCAGAGGCGACAUCCUGCAGGCCCAGGAGUCCUCCCGCAAGGCCCGCUCCCUGGUCCUCUUCAGCCUGCUCUUCGGGGUCUUCAUCUCCGUCAGCUGGAUCAUCUACGUGGUGGUCACCAUUUUCUUAUGACAGAGGAGACGUCGCUUCGAACUGUAUCAUAAUAAUAAUAAUAAUAAAAAUCCUUCUUCAGAGACCAGAAAUCACAACUGCAGCUGCUAUACCCCCAGGAGGGCAGCAGGGGGCGCCUCAGGCUGAUUGCCGCUGACCACAUCCUAUGUGUAUAUGUACAGAUAACAUUAAAUACAAUGUAUCUUUUUUUUUUUUCUUAAUUAAUCUGCAUUUUCCUUAUUUGGUGAAGUUUCUCCAAUUAACAAAACAAAAAAACAACCCAUUAUGUAUAGUUCAGUUCAUAAAGCGCAAUUUUUCUCGUCCCCUAAUACACCCCCUUCUGCAUUGUUUUUAUAUUUUAAAAGGUUGUGUUGGGGGUAAAGUCAGAGGCAAUGCAGCAGCUGCGCCAUAAAGGCUCCGCUAUAUCACUGUUCUGCAACAUAGAUAUUUAGUUCUUGUUCUCUACAUUUAAAGGGGCUGAAUCAAAGCUGGGCUAUUUUGUCAGAAGUACACACACAGUAUCUUCCCCAAUUAGUUGUCUAUCCAAUCACAGCACAACAUUCAGUCCUUACUGUUAUGCCAUGACAUAGCACUGAGGGAUAAUAUACACAGCAAAGUACUAUAGAUGGCAGGCAGGAGGAAGAAGGGGUUACUGUGCACCAGAUUUGCAAGGUGUUACGUCAGCAGAACUGCAAGAAACAGCAGCAACAACAACAAAGGGGUUACACUAGUUGCUACUGAGAAGCUAAAGGGUGGGAGGUGAUUACACUGCAACACUGUGGACAUACAGCGGUAGAUGCACUGCUUUUUUUAAAAGAUGAGCUGUCCUGAUUUGUAAAAGAUGAGAAGGAAGCCUUGAUUUACCUUGCUUUGAGAGGUGAGAAGGAAGCCAUGAUUUACCUUUGUGGAUCCUCUUCAACAGGAAAACUAGCUCAGCUCAGCAUAGCAGAUACUAAACUUCAACGCCAAGUUAUGUCCUGAGUUUCUCUAUUACUAGAGACAGAAAUCCUCUGGUAACAGGCAGUGAAUGACUGAUUGCAAAGUAGUGAGACACCUAGUAGCCAAGACUUAAACAGCUGUUUAUCUGGGGGUAAGGAGUCAUUUUUGGUCAAUGAAGUGAUUUACUAAUGUGUUAGGAUUCUCAUAGGGUUUCAAAUGGAAGGAAAUGGUUUGAAAUUGUGCAAGGAGGGUUUGCUACAAUGUAUCGGUGUAGGUAACAUGUCUCAGUCUGGAGUGCACAGAGGAGUGUUU